This 119-nucleotide ribosomal RNA is filed under the name Lupinus angustifolius (narrow-leaved blue lupine). The record is from RNAcentral. Lineage: Eukaryota; Viridiplantae; Streptophyta; Magnoliopsida; Fabales; Fabaceae.
AGGUGUGAUCAUACCAACACUAAUGCAACAGAUCCCAUUAGAACUCCUCAGUUAAGCGUGCUUGGUCGAUAGUAGUACUAGGAUGGGUGGCCUCCUGGGAAGUCUUGGUGUUGCACUUC